Molecule: ribosomal RNA, 253 nt
Filed under: uncultured bacterium
Lineage: Bacteria
Description: partial 16S ribosomal RNA
Rfam family: Bacterial small subunit ribosomal RNA
Source: RNAcentral
UACGUAGGGUGCAAGCGUUGUCCGGAAUUAUUGGGCGUAAAGAGCUCGUAGGCGGUUUGUUGCGUCGGCUGUGAAAUCCCGAGGCUCAACCUCGGGUCUGCAGUCGAUACGAGCAAACUAGAGUGUUGCAGGGGAGACUGGAACUUCUGGUGAAGCGGUGAAAUGCGUAGAUAUCAGAAGGAACGCCGGUGGCGAAAGCGACUCUCUGGCUCGUAUCUGACGCUGAGGUGCGAAAGCGUGGGGAGCAAACAGG